UGGGGAAUAUUGCACAAUGGGCGCAAGCCUGAUGCAGCCAUGCCGCGUGUGUGAAGAAGGCCUUCGGGUUGUAAAGCACUUUCAGCGAGGAGGAAGGGUAAUGUGUUAAUAAGACAUUGCAUUGACGUUACUCGCAGAAGAAGCACCGGCUAACUCCGUGCCAGCAGCCGCGGUAAUACGGAGGGUGCAAGCGUUAAUCGGAAUUACUGGGCGUAAAGCGCACGCAGGCGGUUUGUUAAGUCAGAUGUGAAAUCCCCGCGCUCAACGUGGGAACGGCAUUUGAGACUGGCAAGCUAGAGUCUUGUAGAGGGGGGUAGAAUUCCAGGUGUAGCGGUGAAAUGCGUAGAGAUCUGGAGGAAUACCGGUGGCGAAGGCGGCCCCCUGGACAAAGACUGACGCUCAGGUGCGAAAGCGUGGGGAGCAAACA
Molecule: ribosomal RNA, 427 nt
Filed under: uncultured bacterium
Lineage: Bacteria
Also listed under: 1 other name
Description: bacterial SSU rRNA
Rfam family: Bacterial small subunit ribosomal RNA
Source: RNAcentral